CCUACGGGUGGCUGCAGUGGGGAAUUUUCCGCAAUGGGCGAAAGCCUGACGGAGCAAUACCGCGUGAGGGAUGACGGCCUAUGGGUUGUAAACCUCUUUUUUCAGGGAGGAAUCAAUGACGUGUACCUGAGGAAUAAGCAUCGGCUAACUCCGUGCCAGCAGCCGCGGUAAGACGGAGGAUGCAAGUGUUAUCCGGAAUCACUGGGCGUAAAGCGUCUGUAGGUGGUCAAAUAAGUCAACUGUUAAAUCUUGAGGCUCAACCUCAAAAUCGCAGUCGAAACUAUUCGACUAGAGUAUAGUAGGGGUAAAGGGAAUUUCCAGUGGAGCGGUGAAAUGCGUAGAGAUUGGAAAGAACACCGAUGGCGAAGGCACUUUACUGGGCUAUUACUAACACUGAGAGACGAAAGCUAGGGUAGCAAAUGGGAUUAGAUACCCUAGUAGUC
Molecule: ribosomal RNA, 443 nt
Filed under: uncultured bacterium
Lineage: Bacteria
Description: bacterial SSU rRNA
Rfam family: Bacterial small subunit ribosomal RNA
Source: RNAcentral